UACAUGCAGUCGAGGGGUAGAGGUUGCUUGCAACCUUGAGACCGGCGCACGGGUGCGUAACGCGUAUGCAACCUACCUUCAUCUGGGGGAUAGCCCGGAGAAAUCCGGAUUAACACCGCAUAAAAUCACAGUCCCACCUGGGACAAUGAUCAAAUAUUUAUAGGAUGGAGAUGGGCAUGCGUGUCAUUAGCUAGUUGGCGGGGUAACGGCCCACCAAGGCGACGAUGACUAGGGGAUCUGAGAGGAUGGCCCCCCACACUGGUACUGAGACACGGACCAGACUCCUACGGGAGGCAGCAGUAAGGAAUAUUGGUCAAUGGAGGCAACUCUGAACCAGCCAUGCCGCGUGCAGGAAGACUGCCCUAUGGGUUGUAAACUGCUUUUAUUCGGGAAUAAACCUUAUUACGUGUAAUAAGCUGAAUGUACCGAAGGAAUAAGGAUCGGCUAACUCCGUGCCAGCAGCCGCGGUAAUACGGAGGAUCCAAGCGUUAUCCGGAUUUAUUGGGUUUAAAGGGUGCGUAGGCGGCCUGUUAAGUCAGGGGUGAAAGACGGUAGCUCAACUAUCGCAGUGCCCUUGAUACUGAUGGGCUUGAAUGGACUAGAGGUAGGCGGAAUGAGACAAGUAGCGGUGAAAUGCAUAGAUAUGUCUCAGAACACCGAUUGCGAAGGCAGCUUACUAUGGUCUUAUUGACGCUGAGGCACGAAAGCGUGGGGAUCAAACAGGAUUAGAUACCCUGGUAGUCCACGCCCUAAACGAUGAACACUCGCUGUUGGCGAUACACAGUCAGCGGCUAAGCGAAAGCGUUAAGUGUUCCACCUGGGGAGUACGCUCGCAAGAGUGAAACUCAAAGGAAUUGACGGGGGCCCGCACAAGCGGAGGAGCAUGUGGUUUAAUUCGAUGAUACGCGAGGAACCUUACCCGGGCUUGAAAGUUAGUGAAUGAUCCAGAGAUGGAUCAGUGAGCAAUCACACGAAACUAGGUGCUGCAUGGCUGUCGUCA
RNAcentral lists this ribosomal RNA (1000 nucleotides) under Pedobacter agri. Its description in RNAcentral is "bacterial SSU rRNA". It matches the Rfam family "Bacterial small subunit ribosomal RNA", at positions 52 to 1057 of the family's 1533-position model. The record is from RNAcentral. Lineage: Bacteria; Pseudomonadati; Bacteroidota; Sphingobacteriia; Sphingobacteriales; Sphingobacteriaceae.